GAUGAACGCUCGCUACAGGCUUAACACAUGCAAGUCGAGGGGAAACGAUGAGAGAGCUUGCUCUCUUAGGCGUCGACCGGCGCACGGGUGAGUAACGCGUAUCCAACCUACCCAUUACAGGGGGAUAACCUUGCGAAAGUAAGACUAAUACCCCAUGGCAUUUUAUGGUGGCAUCAUUAUAGGAUUAAAGAUUUAUUGGUAAUGGAUGGGGAUGCGUCUGAUUAGCUUGUUGGCGGGGUAACGGCCCACCAAGGCAACGAUCAGUAGGGGUUCUGAGAGGAAGGUCCCCCACAUUGGAACUGAGACACGGUCCAAACUCCUACGGGAGGCAGCAGUGAGGAAUAUUGGUCAAUGGGCGAGAGCUUGAACCAGCCAAGUAGCGUGCAGGAUGACGGCCCUAUGGGUUGUAAACUGCUUUUAUAGGGGAAUAAAGUGAGCUACGUGUAGUUUAUUGCAUGUACCCUAUGAACAAGGACCGGCUAAUUCCGUG
Molecule: ribosomal RNA, 490 nt
Filed under: uncultured bacterium
Lineage: Bacteria
Description: partial 16S ribosomal RNA
Rfam family: Bacterial small subunit ribosomal RNA
Source: RNAcentral